GGUUUGUGGCUCAGAGGUAGAGCGCUUGCCUAGCAUGCGUGAGGCACUGGGUUUGAUCCUCAGCACCA
Molecule: transfer RNA, 68 nt
Filed under: Marmota monax (woodchuck)
Lineage: Eukaryota; Metazoa; Chordata; Mammalia; Rodentia; Sciuridae
Description: tRNA.Ala
Source: RNAcentral